GCGUGCAUUCUUUCAUCACUUACCACUUUUCAUUUAAUUCAACACCAUUCACUUCUCACUCCUCUUUUCUCACUUCGCUUUCUAUUCAAUUACAAGUGAAGAUAUGAGUGCGUGAAUUGAAUAGAAGCGAAGAAGAAAAGAACGUGGUGUUUAGUGUG
RNAcentral lists this non-coding RNA (158 nucleotides) under Symbiodinium sp. CCMP2430. The record is from RNAcentral. Lineage: Eukaryota; Dinophyceae; Suessiales; Symbiodiniaceae.